AGGAUUCCCUAGUAACUGCGAGUGAAGCGGGAAAAGCUCAAAUUUAAAAUCUGGCGGUCUCUGGCCGUCCGAGUUGUAAUCUAGAGAAGUAAUGCCCGUGCUGGACCGUGUAUAAGUCUCCUGGGAUGGGGCGUCAUAGAGGGUGAGAAUCCCGUCUUUGACACGGACUACCAGUGCAUUGUGGUAUGCUCUCAAAGAGUCGAGUUGUUUGGGAAUGCAGCUCAAAAUGGGUGGUAAAUUCCAUCUAAAGCUAAAUAUUGGCGAGAGACCGAUAGCGAACAAGUACCGUGAGGGAAAGAUGAAAAGAACUUUGGAAAGAGAGUUAAACAGUACGUGAAAUUGCUGAAAGGGAAACGCUUGAAGUCAGUCGCGUUGGCCAGGGAUCAGCCUUGCUUUUUGCAUGGUGUACUUUCUGGUUGACGGGUCAGCAUCAAUUUUGACCGCUGGAAAAGGGCCUGGGGAAUGUGGCAGCUUCGGCUGUGUUAUAGCCCCUGGUCGCAUACAGUGGUUGGGAUUGAGGAACUCAGCACGCCGCAAGGCCGGGUUUCGACCACGUUCGUGCUUAGGAUGCUGGCAUAAUGGCUUUAAGCGACCCGUCUUGAAACACGGACCAAGGAGUCUAACAUGCUUGCGAGUAUUUGGGUGGAAAACCCGAGUGCGCAAUGAAAGUGAAAGUUGAGAUCCCUGUCGUGGGGAGCAUCGACGCCCGGACCAGAACUUUUGGGACGGAUCCGCGGUGGAGCAUGUAUGUUGGGACCCGAAAGAUGGUGAACUAUGCCUGAAUAGGGUGAAGCCAGAGGAAACUCUGGUGGAGGCUCGUAGCGAUUCUGACGUGCAAAUCGAUCGUCAAAUUUGGGUAUAGGGGCGAAA
This 870-nucleotide ribosomal RNA is filed under the name Agaricus sp. ZRL2012199. RNAcentral's name for it is "eukaryotic LSU rRNA". It matches the Rfam family "Eukaryotic large subunit ribosomal RNA", at positions 71 to 928 of the family's 3401-position model. The record is from RNAcentral. Lineage: Eukaryota; Fungi; Basidiomycota; Agaricomycetes; Agaricales; Agaricaceae.